This 536-nucleotide ribosomal RNA is filed under the name uncultured Comamonas sp. Its description in RNAcentral is "bacterial SSU rRNA". It matches the Rfam family "Bacterial small subunit ribosomal RNA", at positions 998 to 1533 of the family's 1533-position model. Lineage: Bacteria; Pseudomonadati; Pseudomonadota; Betaproteobacteria; Burkholderiales; Comamonadaceae. The record is from RNAcentral.
GUUUAGAGAUAGAGGGGUGCUCGAAAGAGAACCGUAACACAGGUGCUGCAUGGCUGUCGUCAGCUCGUGUCGUGAGAUGUUGGGUUAAGUCCCGCAACGAGCGCAACCCUUGCCAUUAGUUGCUACGAAAGGGCACUCUAAUGGGACUGCCGGUGACAAACCGGAGGAAGGUGGGGAUGACGUCAAGUCCUCAUGGCCCUUAUAGGUGGGGCUACACACGUCAUACAAUGGCCGGUACAAAGGGCAGCCAACCCGCGAGGGGGAGCCAAUCCCAUAAAGCCGGUCGUAGUCCGGAUCGCAGUCUGCAACUCGACUGCGUGAAGUCGGAAUCGCUAGUAAUCGUGGAUCAGCAUGUCACGGUGAAUACGUUCCCGGGUCUUGUACACACCGCCCGUCACACCAUGGGAGCGGGUUCUGCCAGAAGUAGGUAGCCUAACCGUAAGGAGGGCGCUUACCACGGCAGGGUUCGUGACUGGGGUGAAGUCGUAACAAGGUAGCCGUAUCGGAAGGUGCGGCUGGAUCACCUCCUUUAUGAG